GCGGCGUUGGUCGAGCUGGAAAGAUCCCGGCCUUCCACGCCGGAGACGCGGGACCAUUUAAAGGCGCGACUUCAAAUCCCGCACAUGGCA
This 90-nucleotide transfer RNA is filed under the name Candidatus Bathyarchaeota archaeon. Its description in RNAcentral is "tRNA-Gly". It matches the Rfam family "tRNA". From Rfam's summary of the family: Transfer RNA (tRNA) molecules are approximately 80 nucleotides in length. Their secondary structure includes four short double-helical elements and three loops (D, anti-codon, and T loops). Further hydrogen bonds mediate the characteristic L-shaped molecular structure. tRNAs have two regions of fundamental functional importance: the anti-codon, which is responsible for specific mRNA codon recognition, and the 3' end, to which the tRNAs corresponding amino acid is attached (by aminoacyl-tRNA synthetases). tRNAs cope with the degeneracy of the genetic code in two manners: having more than one tRNA (with a specific anti-codon) for a particular amino acid; and 'wobble' base-pairing, i.e. permitting non-standard base-pairing at the 3rd anti-codon position. The record is from RNAcentral. Lineage: Archaea; Thermoproteati; Candidatus Bathyarchaeota.